This 388-nucleotide ribosomal RNA is filed under the name uncultured bacterium. RNAcentral's name for it is "bacterial SSU rRNA". It matches the Rfam family "Bacterial small subunit ribosomal RNA", at positions 30 to 424 of the family's 1533-position model. The record is from RNAcentral.
AUUGAACGCUGGCGGCAGGCCUAACACAUGCAAGUCGAGCGGCAGCACUUCGGGUGGCGAGCGGCGAACGGGUGAGUAAUGCAUGGGAAUCUGCCUGAUAGUGGGGGGGAUAACUCUAGGAAACUAGAGGUAAUACCGCAUACGUCCUACGGGAGAAAGCGGGGGAUCUUCGGACCUCGCGCUAUCAGAGGAGCCCAUGUCCGAUUAGCUAGUUGGUGAGGUAAAGGCUCACCAAGGCGACGAUCGGUAACUGGUCUGAGAGGAUGGUCAGUCACACUGGAACUGAGACACGGUCCUUAGACUCCUACGGGAGGCAGCAGUGGGGAAUAUUGGACAAUGGGGGCAACCCUGAUCCAGCCAUGCCGCGUGUGUGAAGAAGGCCUCGGUU